Molecule: transfer RNA, 75 nt
Filed under: Schistocerca americana (American grasshopper)
Lineage: Eukaryota; Metazoa; Arthropoda; Insecta; Orthoptera; Acrididae
Also listed under: 1 other name
Description: tRNA-Thr
Rfam family: tRNA
About the family: Transfer RNA (tRNA) molecules are approximately 80 nucleotides in length. Their secondary structure includes four short double-helical elements and three loops (D, anti-codon, and T loops).
Source: RNAcentral
GCCCUCGGUGGCUCAGAUGGAUAGAGCGUCUGCCAUGUAAGCAGGAGAUCGCGGGUUCGAGUCCCGCUCGAAGCA